RNAcentral lists this long non-coding RNA (724 nucleotides) under Brassica napus (rape). RNAcentral describes it as "long non-coding RNA (BNAP_LNC021773)". The record is from RNAcentral. Lineage: Eukaryota; Viridiplantae; Streptophyta; Magnoliopsida; Brassicales; Brassicaceae.
AAAUAAUUGAAAUAAUAAAAAAACUUAAGAGAUAAUAAUUGUAGAAUUACUGAGAACUGGCCGUACAUUGAUAAGCUCAAUAGUCUUCCUACCUAUGUGUUGCCUACUGCGACCUAACACCACCUCUCUCUCUCUAUGCAUUAUCUCCGUAUCAUUGUUUUCUCUUGUUUUUAUUCCACAUGCAUUUGUUUUUCACAAGAGGUAAAUUGUGUCAUUAUUACUCUCUCCAUUUCAUAGUAUAAGUAGUUUUGACUAAAAACACGAAAAUUAAAAAAAUUAUUAUGUUUUUAAAAAUUAUUUUAUAAUAAAUAGGUUAGAUAUAAUUUAACCAAUAAAAAAUAAGUCUAUUUAAUUUGAUUGGUCACACUGUAUUCAAUAAAUAUAAAAAUUACCUAAAAAUACGAAAACUACUUACAUUUUGAAACAAAAGCAUUUCUCUAAAACUCCUUACAAUAUGAAACGGAGGGAGUAUUAGUUUUGUCCCAUGUUCUAAAACGCGGCCGCACCACCCGAUUAAGCGGCGGCGAAACGCUAGGCGGAGGUUGAGCGAGGCGAUUUCGUCUUAUUCGGCCAAUAACUCGGAAUCGUCAAAAAAUUUCAAGUUUUUGAGGUUUUGAGCUUAUAAUCGAGUUCUAGAUGUUAAAUCUAUGAGUAUUAAGUAUAAAUAUCAAGAAAAACGCAAAAGAAACUGAUGAAAUCAGUGAAACAAAGGUGUGGCGGCUCU